UGAGCUUGAUCCUGGCUCAGAUUGAACGCUGGCGGCAUGCCUUACACAUGCAAGUCGAACGGCAGCACGGAGCUUGCUCUGGUGGCGAGUGGCGAACGGGUGAGUAAUAUAUCGGAACGUACCCUAGAGUGGGGGAUAACGUAGCGAAAGUUACGCUAAUACCGCAUACGAUCUAAGGAUGAAAGUGGGGGAUCGCAAGACCUCAUGCUCGUGGAGCGGCCGAUAUCUGAUUAGCUAGUUGGUAGGGUAAAAGCCUACCAAGGCAUCGAUCAGUAGCUGGUCUGAGAGGACGACCAGCCACACUGGAACUGAGACACGGUCCAGACUCCUACGGGAGGCAGCAGUGGGGAAUUUUGGACAAUGGGCGAAAGCCUGAUCCAGCAAUGCCGCGUGAGUGAAGAAGGCCUUCGGGUUGUAAAGCUCUUUUGUCAGGGAAGAAACGGUGAGAGCUAAUAUCUCUGCUAAUGACGGUACC
Molecule: ribosomal RNA, 475 nt
Filed under: Pseudomonas sp. 01WB03.4-16
Lineage: Bacteria; Pseudomonadati; Pseudomonadota; Gammaproteobacteria; Pseudomonadales; Pseudomonadaceae
Description: bacterial SSU rRNA
Rfam family: Bacterial small subunit ribosomal RNA
Source: RNAcentral